GGCGGUGUAGCUCAGUUGGCAGAGCAGCGGACUCAUAAGCCGCGGGUCGGCCGUUCAAUCCGGCCCACCGCCACCA
RNAcentral lists this transfer RNA (76 nucleotides) under Nitrospira sp. RNAcentral's name for it is "tRNA-Met". It matches the Rfam family "tRNA". From Rfam's summary of the family: Transfer RNA (tRNA) molecules are approximately 80 nucleotides in length. Their secondary structure includes four short double-helical elements and three loops (D, anti-codon, and T loops). Further hydrogen bonds mediate the characteristic L-shaped molecular structure. tRNAs have two regions of fundamental functional importance: the anti-codon, which is responsible for specific mRNA codon recognition, and the 3' end, to which the tRNAs corresponding amino acid is attached (by aminoacyl-tRNA synthetases). tRNAs cope with the degeneracy of the genetic code in two manners: having more than one tRNA (with a specific anti-codon) for a particular amino acid; and 'wobble' base-pairing, i.e. permitting non-standard base-pairing at the 3rd anti-codon position. RNAcentral also lists the same sequence under 4 other names. The record is from RNAcentral. Lineage: Bacteria; Pseudomonadati; Nitrospirota; Nitrospiria; Nitrospirales; Nitrospiraceae.